UCAGUCAAGUGUUUUCAGCGCUGGUGUGU
Molecule: non-coding RNA, 29 nt
Filed under: Mus musculus (house mouse)
Lineage: Eukaryota; Metazoa; Chordata; Mammalia; Rodentia; Muridae
Source: RNAcentral